RNAcentral lists this ribosomal RNA (352 nucleotides) under uncultured Enterobacteriaceae bacterium. RNAcentral describes it as "bacterial SSU rRNA". It matches the Rfam family "Bacterial small subunit ribosomal RNA", at positions 1032 to 1382 of the family's 1533-position model. The record is from RNAcentral. Lineage: Bacteria; Pseudomonadati; Pseudomonadota; Gammaproteobacteria; Enterobacterales; Enterobacteriaceae.
AGACAGGUGCUGCAUGGCUGUCGUCAGCUCGUGUUGUGAAAUGUUGGGUUAAGUCCCGCAACGAGCGCAACCCCUUAUCCUUUGUUGCCAGCGGUCCGGCCGGGAACUCAAAGGAGACUGCCAGUGAUAAACUGGAGGAAGGUGGGAUGACGUCAAGUCAUCAUGGCCCUUACGACCAGGGCUACACACGUGCUACAAUGGCGCAUACAAAGAGAAGCGACCUCGCGAGAGCAAGCGGACCUCAUAAAGUGCGUCGUAGUCCGGAUUGGAGUCUGCAACUCGACUCCAUGAAGUCGGAAUCGCUAGUAAUCGUGGAUCAGAAUGCCCACGGUCGAAUACGUUCCCGGGCCUU